UGUAUGUGUGUUCAAUGAUGGAGUGUGU
RNAcentral lists this non-coding RNA (28 nucleotides) under Mus musculus (house mouse). Lineage: Eukaryota; Metazoa; Chordata; Mammalia; Rodentia; Muridae. The record is from RNAcentral.